RNAcentral lists this ribosomal RNA (1000 nucleotides) under Limosilactobacillus fermentum. Its description in RNAcentral is "bacterial SSU rRNA". It matches the Rfam family "Bacterial small subunit ribosomal RNA", at positions 459 to 1454 of the family's 1533-position model. Lineage: Bacteria; Bacillati; Bacillota; Bacilli; Lactobacillales; Lactobacillaceae. The record is from RNAcentral.
UGUUCAUGCGGUGACGGUAUUUAACCAGAAAGUCACGGCUAACUACGUGCCAGCAGCCGCGGUAAUACGUAGGUGGCAAGCGUUGUCCUGGAUUUAUUGGGCGUAAAGAGAGUGCAGGCGGUUUUUUAAGUCUGAUGUGAAAGCCUUCGGCUCAACCGGAGAAGUGCAUCGGAAACUGGAUAACUUGAGUGCAGAAGAGGGUAGUGGAACUCCCAUGUGUAGCGGUGGAAUGCGUAGAUAUAUGGAAGAACACCAGUGGCGAAGGCGGCUACCUGGUCUGCAACUGACGCUGAGACUCGAAAGCAUGGGUAGCGAACAGGAUUAGAUACCCUGGUAGUCCAUGCCGUAAACGAUGAGUGCUAGGUGUUGGAGGGUUUCCGCCCUUCAGUGCUGCAGCUAACGCAUUAAGCACUCCGCCUGGGGAGUACGACCGCAAGGUUGAAACUCAAAGGAAUUGACGGGGGCCCGCACAAGCGGUGGAGCAUGUGGUUUAAUUCGAAGCUACGCGAAGAACCUUACCAGGUCUUGACAUCUUGCGCCAACCCUAGAGAUAGGGCGUUUCCUUCGGGAACGCAAUGACAGGUGGUGCAUGGUCGUCGUCAGCUCGUGUCGUGAGAUGUUGGGUUAAGUCCCGCAACGAGCGCAACCCUUGUUAUUAGUUGCCAGCAUUAAGUUGGGCACUCUAGUGAGACUGCCGGUGACAAACCGGAGGAAGGUGGGGACGACGUCAGAUCAUCAUGCCCCUUAUGACCUGGGCUACACACGUGCUACAAUGGACGGUACAACGAGUCGCGAACUCGCGAGGGCAAGCAAAUCUCUUAAAACCGUUCUCAGUUCGGACUGCAGGCUGCAACUCGCCUGCACGAAGUCGGAAUCGCUAGUAAUCGCGGAUCAGCAUGCCGCGGUGAAUACGUUCCCGGGCCUUGUACACACCGCCCGUCACUUAAAAAAGAGUUGUAACAUUCAAACUCCGUGGGCUAUCAUAUGUUCGUAACAUACG